GAUGAACGCUGACAGAAUGCUUAACACAUGCAAGUCAACUUGAACUUCGGUUUGGGUGGCGGACGGGUGAGUAACGCGUAAAGAACUUGCCUCACAGCUAGGGACAACAUUUGGAAACGAAUGCUAAUACCUGAUAUUAUGAUUAUAUGGCAUCGUAUAAUUAUGGAAGCUAUAUGCGCUGUGAGAGAGCUUUGCGUCCCAUUAGCUAGUUGGAGAGGUAACAGCUCACCAAGGCGAUGAUGGGUAGCCGGCCUGAGAGGGUGAUCGGCCACAAGGGGACUGAGACACGGCCCUUACUCCUACGGGAGGCAGCAGUGGGGAAUAUUGGACAAUGGACCGAGAGUCUGAUCCAGCAAUUCUGUGUGCACGAUGAAGUUUUUCGGAAUGUAAAGUGCUUUCAGUUGGGAAGAAAAAAAUGACGGUACCAACAGAAGAAGAGACGGCUAAAUACGUG
Molecule: ribosomal RNA, 454 nt
Filed under: uncultured bacterium
Lineage: Bacteria
Description: partial 16S ribosomal RNA
Rfam family: Bacterial small subunit ribosomal RNA
Source: RNAcentral